RNAcentral lists this ribosomal RNA (433 nucleotides) under uncultured bacterium. RNAcentral describes it as "partial 16S ribosomal RNA". It matches the Rfam family "Bacterial small subunit ribosomal RNA", at positions 29 to 507 of the family's 1533-position model. The record is from RNAcentral.
AACGAACGCUGGCGGCAUGCCUAACACAUGCAAGUCGAACGAGACCUUCGGGUCUAGUGGCGCACGGGUGCGUAACGCGUGGGAACCUGCCCUUAGGUUCGGAAUAACUCCCCGAAAGGGGUGCUAAUACCGGAUAAUGUCUUCGGACCAAAGAUUUAUCGCCUUUGGAUGGGCCCGCGUUGGAUUAGCUAGUUGGUAGGGUAAAAGCCUACCAAGGCGACGAUCCAUAGCUGGUCUGAGAGGAUGAUCAGCCACACUGGGACUGAGACACGGCCCAGACUCCUACGGGAGGCAGCAGUGGGGAAUAUUGGACAAUGGGCGAAAGCCUGAUCCAGCAAUGCCGCGUGAGUGAUGAAGGCCUUAGGGUUGGAAAGCUCUUUUACCCGGGAUGAUAAUGACAGUACCGGGAGAAUAAGCGCCGGCUAACUCCGUG